Molecule: ribosomal RNA, 492 nt
Filed under: uncultured bacterium
Lineage: Bacteria
Description: partial 16S ribosomal RNA
Rfam family: Bacterial small subunit ribosomal RNA
Source: RNAcentral
AGUGAACGCUGGCGGUAGGCCUAACACAUGCAAGUCGAACGGCAGCACAGUAAGAGCUUGCUCUUACGGGUGGCGAGUGGCGGACGGGUGAGGAAUACAUCGGAAUCUACUUUUUCGUGGGGGAUAACGUAGGGAAACUUACGCUAAUACCGCAUACGACCUACGGGUGAAAGCAGGGGAUCUUCGGACCUUGCGCGAUUGAAUGAGCCGAUGUCGGAUUAGCUAGUUGGCGGGGUAAAGGCCCACCAAGGCGACGAUCCGUAGCUGGUCUGAGAGGGUGAUCAGCCACACUGGAACUGAGACACGGUCCAGACUCCUACGGGAGGCAGCAGUGGGGAAUAUUGGACAAUGGGCGCAAGCCUGAUCCAGCCAUACCGCGUGGGUGAAGAAGGCCUUCGGGUUGUAAAGCCCUUUUGUUGGGAAAGAAAAGCAGCAGGUUAAUACCCCGCUGUUCUGACGGUACCCAAAGAACAAGCACCGGCUAACUUCGUG